Molecule: ribosomal RNA, 529 nt
Filed under: uncultured bacterium
Lineage: Bacteria
Description: bacterial SSU rRNA
Rfam family: Bacterial small subunit ribosomal RNA
Source: RNAcentral
AAUAGAUACCCUGGUAGUCCACGCCGUAAACGAUGAGUGCUAAGUGUUAGAGGGUCUCCGCCCUUUAGUGCUGCAGCAAACGCAUUAAGCACUCCGCCUGGGGAGUACGGUCGCAAGACUGAAACUCAAAGGAAUUGACGGGGGCCCGCACAAGCGGUGGAGCAUGUGGUUUAAUUCGAAGCAACGCGAAGAACCUUACCAGGUCUUGACAUCCCGUGACAACUCUAGAGAUAGGGCUUUCCCCUUCGGGGGACACGGUGACAGGUGGUGCAUGGUUGUCGUCAGCUCGUGUCGUGAGAUGUUGGGUUAAGUCCCGCAACGAGCGCAACCCUUGAUCUUAGUUGCCAGCAUUAAGUUGGGCACUCUAAGGUGACUGCCGGUGACAAACCGGAGGAAGGUGGGGAUGACGUCAAAUCAUCAUGCCCCUUAUGACCUGGGCUACACACGUGCUACAAUGGAUGGUACAAAGGGCAGCGAAACCGCGAGGUUAAGCCAAUCCCAUAAAACCAUUCUCAGUUCGGAUUGCAGG